This 73-nucleotide transfer RNA is filed under the name Spirochaetes bacterium DG_61. Its description in RNAcentral is "tRNA-Thr". It matches the Rfam family "tRNA". From Rfam's summary of the family: Transfer RNA (tRNA) molecules are approximately 80 nucleotides in length. Their secondary structure includes four short double-helical elements and three loops (D, anti-codon, and T loops). The record is from RNAcentral. Lineage: Bacteria; Pseudomonadati; Spirochaetota.
GCCCACAUAGCUCAGUAGGUAGAGCACAUCCUUGGUAAGGAUGAGGUCACCGGUUCGAUCCCGGUUGUGGGCU